RNAcentral lists this long non-coding RNA (915 nucleotides) under Capsicum annuum. RNAcentral describes it as "long non-coding RNA (CANN_LNC003605)". The record is from RNAcentral. Lineage: Eukaryota; Viridiplantae; Streptophyta; Magnoliopsida; Solanales; Solanaceae.
UUUGUGUCCGGAGAAUUUGAUGUGGUCAAAGUUACAAGAUCAGUAUUUGAGUCUAUCUCAAAAAAAAAAAAAAUGCAAGCUGAUGGAACUAGAAUUGCUACAAUCCACACUAACUCCGAGAAAAAAUGUUUUUGUGCUAUUGGAUGAUUUUUGGAGUGAAAAAAAGAAGAUUGGGACAAGUUCUAUGCACCUUUUUAAGGUAGGAUGUAAAUUAAUAAUUACUAUUCGGAGUUCAAAGUUGCAUCAGUUGGUUGCAAAAAUAUUUAUCUUCCAUCUUUUUGUGACAAUGAUUGCUGAAAAAUAAUGAGACGGAGGUAAUUCUUCAACAACAUAUUGGACAAUUGGAAGAACUGGGUUUUGAGAUAGCAAAAACAUAUUCUACUGUGGGAAUCAAUCUAAAAAACUUGCACAAUAAAACAAGCUGUGGGCGAUGCAAUCCAAAUCAAAUUCAUCAAGAUUCAAGAUCAAGAUCGCAAUAUUCAAGAACAAGCUCAAAAGCUCUUGAAUUCAAGCACAAGUUAGGAUCAAGUCCCUCAAAUCAACAAAUCAAGUUUAAAUUCAAGAUCAAGCUUUAAGCCCUGAAUUUAUAUUUGAAAAGGCGAAUCAGAGGAUUCACAGAGAUUGUAACACUCGCAUUAAAAUCAAUAAAUUGAUUGUUGCAAUAUAUUUUUCUUGCCUCAAAUUAUUUAUUUUCGGUGUCAAAGAUUUUUAUUGUAACACAAGCGUGGUCCAAUUUUGUUGUUUAGCUAUUAUUCACACCCUCCACAUUUAAAUAAAUGUUUUACCUAUUAUUCUUUAUUUUCCAACUGGUCAUGUAUUUGAAAUGGAUAGAUUGGUCUGUUAAAAGAGUGUUCAGUAUCAUAAUCUCACCACAUGAACUCACCUCAUGGCACAGGUAGUUUCUUUGAGUAUAUG